Molecule: long non-coding RNA, 2348 nt
Organism: Strongylocentrotus purpuratus (purple sea urchin)
Lineage: Eukaryota; Metazoa; Echinodermata; Echinoidea; Camarodonta; Strongylocentrotidae
Exons: 4
Source: RefSeq, a predicted model, not a curated record
CAAGGCCUAUCCAAAUUAUUACAAGGGGCGCGCAGGAUCAAGAUGAAAUGAGCUAGCUAUUUCAAGAGGUGCUUGAUCGACCACGGCCACGUACGUACGUCACUCAAUCUCAACAAGCCAUGUAAUUGAAACAGCAAUGUUGGUGAUAUUUUUGGCAGUGAAACAGCAUCGUUAUUUCAAAUGGUUCGUGCAAAGAAAGCACUGAUUUCGUAUCGGCUCUCUGAGUCUGUGAAGGACAGCGUCUCUAUUUCUCCCAGGCCAGCUGCCCUCGCCUCCCGACGGUCAUUUCUCCUUCGCGGUGGUGAGGAAAAACAAGCGAGCACAUGUUCGGAGCUGAGAGUGCAGUGCAGUGAGAGCUCGAGAGAGCUGAGAAGCCCCGAUAUUGCUGUGCUGGUGUGCUUUGAUGUUGAUACAGCCCCUUUCAUCUCGUUGAUAACAAGAAGAGCAAAGUGAUGAACCUACAAGGCAAGAUGAGAAACUUCUUGGACCUCACGACUUUCUGCUAUUGCCACACUUAUGAGGACACAGGAGGAAAUUCUCUGGUUCAAGGAAGGCAUGGUGCUGGCUAGGCUGGGACUCGAUCAUGAUAUAGAUGUCUUGCGUCUCUCAUUACAGAUCCACAGAUUCUGUAUUGCAGAAGUACCAAGAGAGCACUCACUCCUAGGCAUGCCUACAUCAUUCCGAGUCCAGAAUCUACUGCUGGCUCUCUGAUCCCUAGUGCACUGUCUUCAUGGAUACCCCAGCAGAUCCUUGUCAUGCACGUCUCUUUGUUUUAUCUCGACAUCAUGAUUCUGAAGAGUUGCAUUGCUGCAAAAACAAUGUUGCCCCAAGGAGAGAGUUUCCUACAUCCACUUGAGAAACUGAAACUAAAGAUUUAAGCUGCCCAUGGGUAUUCUACUCCCAAUAUUUGCAACAUGCCUUUUAAAGAAUCUGCACAUCUGAACGUGAAGUUGCCCAACCGAGGGAUACUAGUGUCCAUGAUCAGAGCUUGAGAAACAGAUCCUUUCAUACUUGAGGAACAGUACAAUAUCAAAGUAUAGCUGGUAAUCUGAACAUUUGAAAUUUGGUCGGCAGAGGGGUGCAAGUAUUCAAGUGAUGCAGAGAAUAUUUGCAAUGGCAGCAGGGCAGUGCAUCCAUCGUCACUCCUCACAUCGUUUCCAGAAUGAGGAUCACAAGUAUUCAAGGGAUGCAGAGAACAUUGGAAACGGCAGCAGGACAGAGCAUCAAUCAUCACUCCUCACAUCGUUUCCAGAAUGAAGAUCACAACUAUUCACUAGAUGCAAUGAACAUUGGUAAUGGCAGCAGGGCAGAGCAUCCAUCGUCGCCCCUCACAUAGUCUCCAGAAUGAGGAUCACAAGUAUUCAAGGGAUGCAUAGAACAUUGGCAAUGGUAGCAGGGCAGAGCAUCCAUUGUCAUUACCUUACAUCGUUUCCAGAAUGAGGAUCACAAGAGAGGUUUGGCUGUCUUGUUUGUGUCGUAGCCAUGAUUGAUGGUUGUGAAGUUGUGGCGAUGAGUCUGUAUUUACAUUUCCAAAUCAUAUGUAGAAACUUUUGCAUUGUAUAGGUAAAUAGGUAUUUUAUUUCAUUUUUCAUUGUGUUGUAGGGUGCGACUAAGGCCUAGUGUGACUGCUAGAUUUAAUUUAAUUUGGGGUAUUUUUCUGAUGGUUUUAAAAUUAUUACUGGUAUGUUUUGAUCCAUCAUUGAUAAUCUAAAACAUUGCUCAGAAAAAUGAAAUAUCAGAACAUGUAGAUAUUCCCCCCCCCCCAAAAAAAAAAAUAAAGCAAAGAAUUACAAGACAACAUCUUGCUCAAGAGAGUGACUCAAUGCUCAAUAAUGAAAAAUGAUAAGUUUUGAUUGAAUUAUUAGCUGAAAUUGUAAAUGAUUGUCUAUGCAUCUAAACAUACAUUCCAAAAAUAUUCAGCCCCAAAAUAAUGGCGUAUAGUUGUAUGCUUCAAAAAGCGCAUUCAUAUUGUUGGUGCACCUCAAGAGUGUGGUUAUCUGAUAUUUGCUUCUGCAACAUUUGCUCUGGGCUUUAUUAUUUUACAUGGUGGUUUUAACAUAGUGUUGGAACCAGGUUAGAGGUCAAGAAUUUGGAAUGUGUUUAAACAAAAAUUGUUCUUGAGCAGCUGUCGUAAAAUCCAGAAAGGCAAAAAUAUUCUCGUGAGAUAUGGGAUACACCAAGGAGGGCAAACAUUAUUGCCCCAUUACCCCCACUCCUUCCGUAAAGAUCCCUCGCCCCCCCCCCCCAAAAAAAAAGGGCAAAAUUGAUAAUGUUAUUAACAUAAUUGAAUAAUUUGGUAUAUAAAAAUAUCAAAUAGAUGAAGAGUUUCACCAACUGUGGAUUAUACC